RNAcentral lists this ribosomal RNA (447 nucleotides) under uncultured organism. RNAcentral's name for it is "partial 16S ribosomal RNA". It matches the Rfam family "Bacterial small subunit ribosomal RNA", at positions 333 to 797 of the family's 1533-position model. The record is from RNAcentral.
ACACUCCUGCGGGAGGCAGCAGUGGGGAAUAUUGGACAAUGGGCGCAAGCCUGAUCCAGCCAUGCCGCGUGAGUGAUGAAGGCCCUAGGGUUGUAAAGCUCUUUCACCGGAGAAGAUAAUGACGGUAUCCGGAGAAGAAGCCCCGGCUAACUUCGUGCCAGCAGCCGCGGUAAUACGAAGGGGGCUAGCGUUGUUCGGAAUUACUGGGCGUAAAGCGCACGUAGGCGGAUCGAUCAGUCAGGGGUGAAAUCCCAGGGCUCAACCCUGGAACUGCCUUUGAUACUGUCGAUCUGGAGUAUGGAAGAGGUGAGUGGAAUUCCGAGUGUAGAGGUGAAAUUCGUAGAUAUUCGGAGGAACACCAGUGGCGAAGGCGGCUCACUGGUCCAUUACUGACGCUGAGGUGCGAAAGCGUGGGGAGCAAACAGGAUUAGAAACCCCAGUAGUCCC